AGUGAACGCUGGCGGUAGGCCUAACACAUGCAAGUCGAACGGCAGCACAGUAAGAGCUUGCUCUUACGGGUGGCGAGUGGCGGACGGGUGAGGAAUACAUCGGAAUCUACUUUUUCGUGGGGGAUAACGUAGGGAAACUUACGCUAAUACCGCAUACGACCUACGGGUGAAAGCAGGGGAUCUUCGGACCUUGCGUGAUUGAAUGAGCCGAUGUCGGAUUAGCUAGUUGGCGGGGUAAAGGCCCACCAAGGCGACGAUCCGUAGCUGGUCUGAGAGGAUGAUCAGCCACACUGGAACUGAGACACGGUCCAGACUCCUACGGGAGGCAGCAGUGGGGAAUAUUGGACAAUGGGCGCAAGCCCGAUCCAGCCAUACCGCGUGGGUGAAGAAGGCCUUCGGGUUGUAAAGCCCUUUUGUUGGGAAAGAAAAGCAGCAGGUUAAUACCCCGCUGUUCUGACGGUACCCAAAGAAUAAGCACCGGCUAACUUCGUG
Molecule: ribosomal RNA, 492 nt
Filed under: uncultured bacterium
Lineage: Bacteria
Description: partial 16S ribosomal RNA
Rfam family: Bacterial small subunit ribosomal RNA
Source: RNAcentral